CAACUUUCAGCAACGGAUCUCUUGGCUCUCGCAUCGAUGAAGAACGCAGCGAAAUGCGAUAAGUAAUGUGAAUUGCAGAAUUCAGUGAAUCAUCGAAUCUUUGAACGCACCUUGCGCCCUUUGGCAUUCCGAAGGGCAUGCCUGUUUGAGUAUCAUGA
RNAcentral lists this ribosomal RNA (158 nucleotides) under uncultured Tomentella. RNAcentral's name for it is "5.8S ribosomal RNA". It matches the Rfam family "5.8S ribosomal RNA". Rfam says of the family: 5.8S ribosomal RNA (5.8S rRNA) is a component of the large subunit of the eukaryotic ribosome. It is transcribed by RNA polymerase I as part of the 45S precursor that also contains 18S and 28S rRNA. The record is from RNAcentral. Lineage: Eukaryota; Fungi; Basidiomycota; Agaricomycetes; Thelephorales; Thelephoraceae.